RNAcentral lists this small RNA (159 nucleotides) under Saccharopolyspora erythraea. RNAcentral describes it as "c-di-AMP sequence". It matches the Rfam family "c-di-AMP riboswitch aptamer (ydaO/yuaA leader)". From Rfam's summary of the family: This family represents a conserved RNA structure found upstream of the ydaO and yuaA genes in Bacillus subtilis and related genes in other bacteria. The ydaO/yuaA element is thought to act as a genetic "off" switch for the ydaO and yuaA genes in its native state. Lineage: Bacteria; Bacillati; Actinomycetota; Actinomycetes; Pseudonocardiales; Pseudonocardiaceae. The record is from RNAcentral. RNAcentral also lists the same sequence under 1 other name.
GCCUCCGGAUCCCCGAAACAGGAAAAACCGGACAGGGGCGGGGGAACCACCACUGGGCGCCCCGAACGCCCUAGGGGUGAAGCCGGUCCGAGGACCGGCCGGGCUGCCUCUCAGCCCGAACCCGACAGCUCACUUCGCAGGCGCGGCAGGAGAGAGGAA